This 1466-nucleotide ribosomal RNA is filed under the name uncultured Bordetella sp. RNAcentral describes it as "partial 16S-23S ribosomal RNA intergenic spacer". It matches the Rfam family "Bacterial small subunit ribosomal RNA". Lineage: Bacteria; Pseudomonadati; Pseudomonadota; Betaproteobacteria; Burkholderiales; Alcaligenaceae. The record is from RNAcentral.
GUUCGGUGCUCAGAUUGAACGCUGGCAGGAUGCUUUACGCAUCCACACAAGUCGAACAGCGGCACGGACUUCGGUCUGGUGGCGAGUGGCGAACGGGUGAGUAAUGUAUCAAGACGAUACCUAGUAAUACGAAUGUACCAGAAAGCGUAGCUAAUACCACCUACGCCAGCAGGGAAAGCGGGGACCUUCGAACCUCUCCACGCUAUUAAACAGCCGAUAUCGGAUUAGCUAGUUGGUGGGGGUAACGGCUCGCAAGGCGACGAUCCGUAGCUGGUUGAAGGACGACCAGCCACACUGGACUGAGACACGGCCCAGACUCACUACGGGAAGCAGCAGUGGGGAAUUUGGACAAUAGGAAACCUGAUCCAGCCAUCCCGCGUGCGAUGAAGGCCUUCGGGUUGUAAAGCACUUUUGGCAGGAAAGAAACAGCACAGGAUAAUACCCCAUUAAACUGACGAAACACCUGCAGAAUAAGCACCGGCUUCAACUACGAUACCAGCAACCGCGGUAAUACGUAGGUGCAAGCGUUAAUCAGGUGCUGGGCGUAAAGCGUGCGCGGUUCCGGAAAAGAAAGAUGUGAAAUCCCAGAGCUUAACUUUGGAACUGCAUUUUAACUACCGAGCUAGAGUGUGUCAGAGGAGAUUGGAAUUCCGCGUGUAACGUCGCGAUGCAUGCCGAAUAUGCGGAGGAACACCGAUAAGCGAAGGCGGCCUCCUGGGGAUAACACUGACGCUCAUGCACGAAAACGUGAGGGAGCAAACAGGAUUAGAUACCCUGGUAGUCCACGCCUAAACGAUGUCAUUCGCUGUUGGGGCCUUCGGGCCUUGGUAGCGCAGCUAACGCAUGAAGUUGACCGCCUGGGAGAUACGGUCGCAAGAUUAAAACUCAAAGGAAUUGACGGGGACCCACACAAGCAGUGGAUGAUGUGGAAUAAUUCGAUGCAACGCGAAAAACCUUACCUACCCUUGACAUGUCUGGAAUCCCGAAGAGAUUUAGGAGUGCUCGCAAGAGAACCGGAACACAGGUGCUGCAUGGCUGUCGUCAGCUCUGUCGUGAGAUGUUGGGUUAAGUCCCGCAACAGGCGCAACCCUUGUCGUGGAUUGCUACGAAAGGGCACUCUAAUGAGACUGCCGGUAACAAACCAGGAGGAGGUGGGGAUGACAAUCAAGUCUCAUGGCCCUUAUGGGUAGGGCUGCACGUCAUACAAUGGUCAGGACAGAGGUCGCCAACCCGCGAGCAAUCUGAAACCCGAUCGUAGUCGGAUCACCAGUCUACCAACUCGACUGCGUGAAGUCCGAAUCAUGGUAAUCGCGGAUCAGCAUGUCGCGGUGAAUACGUUCCCGGGUCUUGUACACACCGCCCGUCACACCAUGGGAGUGGGUUUUACCAAAGUAGUUAGCCUAACCGUAAGGAGGGCGAUUACCACGGUAAGGAUUCAUGACUGAGGUGAAGUCGUAACAAGGUAA